RNAcentral lists this ribosomal RNA (386 nucleotides) under uncultured bacterium. RNAcentral's name for it is "bacterial SSU rRNA". It matches the Rfam family "Bacterial small subunit ribosomal RNA", at positions 29 to 414 of the family's 1533-position model. The record is from RNAcentral.
AUUGAACGCUGGCGGCAUGCCUUACACAUGCAAGUCGAACGGCAGCACGGGAGCAAUCCUGGUGGCGAGUGGCGAACGGGUGAGUAAUAUAUCGGAACGUGCCCGGUCGUGGGGGAUAACGUAGCGAAAGCUACGCUAAUACCGCAUACGAUCUACGGAUGAAAGCGGGGGGAUCGCAAGACCUCGCGCGAUUGGAGCGGCCGAUAUCAGAUUAGGUAGUUGGUGAGGUAAAGGCUCACCAAGCCGACGAUCUGUAGCUGGUCUGAGAGGACGACCAGCCACACUGGGACCGAGACACGGCCCAGACGUCCUACGGGAGGCAGCAGUGGGGAAUUUUGGACAAUGGGCGCAAGCCUGAUCCAGCAAUGCCGCGUGCAGGAUGAAGG